Molecule: long non-coding RNA, 5669 nt
Filed under: Gossypium barbadense (sea-island cotton)
Lineage: Eukaryota; Viridiplantae; Streptophyta; Magnoliopsida; Malvales; Malvaceae
Description: long non-coding RNA (GBAR_LNC020771)
Source: RNAcentral
CUACAGUCAUUUCCCAGUCUAAUCAGCCAGCUGGACGCAAUUAAAAUCCCGACUUUCCAUGCCGAAACGUCACACCUGCUCAGUAGAUAACAGUUACCAAAAAUUCUUUCCUCUAUCUGUUAUCAUUUUCGAUUCACUCCUCAUUUGAAACAUCUUCAAUCCGGGUUCCUUGGCCACUCCUCUUCCAAGGCAGCUUCAUUGCAGAUCGGCGUAUCCCUUACCAGGUACAUCUCUUCCCUUUUUACUAAUGCUUCCUUCGCUAGUUUAUGGGCUUGAAUAUUUUAUGAUCUUUGAAUAAAUCGAAAAAUGAUUUCUUGAAACCGAGAACUACAACUCUGGAUAUCUCUGAUAAUCGCUCCGACAAUCGAUCUAUCCAUAUCUGUCGCUUUACAAUUUUUGAUGAUUGUUUUCGACUCCCCCAUAAGCGUGACUCAUUUUAGACCCAUUAAGAUGCCUAACUUGGCUGUCUGUAAACAUAUAAGUGCCUCUGCUAGAAACAGAGAUGAGACAUUGGCAUGAAGGGUCGUUUUUGAGGCUUUUAUCUCUCCCAUCUGAUCUCGAACGACAAUCCCCGACGCUGAUCUGGAAUUGUUUGCAUCAAAAGCUGCAUCGAAUUGUAUUAUGUCCCUUGUUGUCUCCUCCUUUUGCUUUUGUGUUCUGGUAGUCCCCAACACUCCUUCUAGUUCUGUUAAAUAGCUCUGUAUUUUUUGUACUAGAUCCCUUCCUGAUGCAAGUUUCUUUCAUGCACCAUUUGGUUCCGCGAGCUCCAUAUAACCCACAGAGUACAGCAAAACAUCCGACAAUGUUCCUUAGUACCUUUUCUGAAAACCCAAGCAAGCCAUGUCUUGAUAUUUUGAUCUAGAUGUGAUGUAACCCAAACCAUAUUAAGAUUCUUCCAUACUUCAAUGCUUGUAGGGCAUUGCCGAAAGACAUGGAAGCUGUCCUCUUCCCCAGACCAACAUCGAGGGCAUCUCACAUUUGUGGUUAUUCGCUUGCAUCUGAGAUUGACUAGUGUAUGAAUAUAGUUCCAGAAUAUCCGCCAGAAUAGAAGUAGAAUUUUUUAUGGAAUUUGUAAAUUCCAAAGUUUUCUGUUUAAUUCUUUAGUAUCAGUCUGUAAUAAAUAACUAUUAGGAUCCAGAAAGUUCACUUUUCCAAACGAGCAAGUCUUCGCAGUUUGUUACUGCAAGUGGGAUUUGCAAAAUUCUUUGAGUAAUGUCCGUUUGAAAGGUAUUAGUAAUAACCUCCGUUUUCCAUAUCUUACUUGUACCAUCGAUUAAAUCUGAUGCUAAUUUCAGCUCUCCAUUGUCAUCUCUGUUCUGCUAGAUAACAAGUUCUACCCCUGGAAUCCACUGACCUGUCCAAAUGGAGAUGCCAUUUCCUCUCCCAACUCUCCAACUUAGCCCUUGAAGAAUUAGUCCCUUUGUAAUCCAAAUACUCUUCCAUGUAAGAGAAGGUAAACUCCUCAACUAUGCACUUAGAAAAUUAGACCGUGGAUAAUACUUUGCUUUAAGAACCCUGGCUAAAAGUGAAUUUGGAUAAUUAAAGAGACGCCAACCUUGCUUGGCUAAUGAUGCGAUAUUAAACUGGCUAAGAUUACGAAAACCCAAACCUCCAUUUUCUUUUAAACUGCAAAUAUUUUUCCAAGAGCACCAAUGAAUUCCCUCUUUCCAUGUCCCCUUCUCCACCAAAAUUUCACAACAAUUGCUUCCAUUUCAUCGCAUAAAGAUUUUGGGAGUAAAAAGCAAGUCAUUGAAUAUGUCAGAAUUGCUUGUAAAAUAGUUUUAAUAAAAAUUUCUUUUUCACCCUGCGAUAAAAAUCUAGUACUCCAAUUGUCAAUGCGUUGCUUUAGCCUAUCCUUUAAAGCCUGAAAAGAUUUCUUCUUUUUUAAUCCCACCAUGUUCGGCAAACCUAGGUAUUGUUUUGGCUCAACUGAACUUCGAAUUCCCAACAAAUUGACAACCAGUCUUCUUUCUUCCUCUAUCGUGUUUUUACUGAAAAACAGUUGAUUUAUCAAAAUUCACACAUUGUCCCGAACAUCUUUUAUACUCAUUUAAGAUCUCCUUGAGUACAACAGCCCCUCUGCUUGUUGCUUCCCCAAAUAGAAUGCAGUCGUUUGCAAAUAAUAAAUGUGACACCUGUGGACCUCUUCUACUUACCUUGACACCCUUCAGAAAUCCUUCUUUUGUAGCUAUUCUCAUAAGACUAGAAAGGCCCUCUCCACAUAUUAGGAAAAGAAACGGACUCAAAGGAUCACCCUAUCGAAGUCCCCUGGUUGGACGGAAUGUUACUCCAACAUUUUCAUUUACCACAACCUUAUAUGAAAUAGUAGACAUGCAUUUCAUAAUAGUAUCAAUCCAUAUUUGAGCAAAUCUCAUUCGUAUCAUUAUCUCCCUAACAAAGUUUCAUUCAACCCUGUCAUAAGCCUUACUUAUGUCCAAUUUUACCGUCAUAAAGCCUUUUCCCCCCACUCUUUUCUGUUUUAGAGUAUACAAUAUUUCGUAAGCUAGCAAUACAUUAUCCGAGAUUAAUUUUCCUGGCACAAAAGCACUUUGAGCACUAUCAAUGCAUUUAUCAAUCACUCUUCGAAAUCUGUUCGCUGUAACUUUCGCCAUCAUUUUAUAAAUAACAUUGCAUAAACUAAUAAGCCUAAACUGUGACAUAUUAGAUGGGUUGUUAAUUUUUGGAAUAAGCACAAUAUGAGUUGUGUUAAUUGAACUGACCUCCAUAUCUCCAUUCAAGAAUUGUUGACACAAGGAAACUACUUCCUCUCCAAUAAAAUGCCAACAGCCAACACUUCUGAUAAAAGAUAGCUGGAAAUCCAUCCUCGCCCGGCACCUUUGGGGGUACCAUUUUGAACAAAGCCUCGUGAAUCUCUUCUCCUAUAUAUCGCGCCAUAAGCUCUUUAUUUUCCUCAUCAUAGACACAUCGAUCAAUGCUCGAGAGUAAAUAAUCAAUUUUUUUCUGAUUAUUUGAUGUAAACAAAUUCUGAAAGUAGGACCUUGAUAUUUCUUCCAUUUCUUAAAGAUCUCUCGUUUCCCUUCCAUGUUCACUUUGUAACUUACUAAUCAUGUUUUUCUUCUGCCUCUGGGUUGCCUGACUAUGGAAAAAAGCUUAAUUUUUGUCGCCUAAUUUUAACCAGUUCAGUUGGGCCCUUUGCUCCUAGUAUCUUUCAUCCUUCUCAAUUUCCAAAUUUAGCUAAAUCUUCGUAUCAAUCAUCUCCGCCAUGUUAGUAUCAUCCCUUUCAGCUUCAAGCAACUCUGAUAACUUUGCUGUUAAAGAUUCAUUUCUCCAUUUUUUAUUAAUUUGCAUUUUUCCCGCCCAAUUUUCCAGACCCUUCUUUAAAAAUUCCAUCUUCUACAGAAAAUCACCUGAUGCUAUCUCCCAUAAAAUUUCCAGUUUCAUCAACAAAAGAAUCUUCCAAAAAUUAUCAGGUUUCAAUUUUGAAACAAUUUUCAUUUUACUGUCUUCCUUCCUUUUUUGUAUAAAUUAAAAGAGGACAAUGAUCAGAAAAAGAAUGCACUAGAUGCUGAACUUUUACCUCAGAAAAUAGAUAAAUCCAUUCCUCAUUGGCAACCCUCUAUCUAUACAUACUUGUAUAUUUGUUUCUAGGAGAUUACCUCUCCCACAUGAACCAUCUACCCAAGUACCCCACAUCAUUCAGUUGACAAAACUCUAAAGCUUUCCAAAACAUUCCCAUCCUUAUUUCAUCUUAGGGCAGGCCUCCCUUUUUUUCAAAGCCAUACAUAAUUUCAUUGAAAUCUCCACAUACCAACCAAGGGACAUUCUUUUCAUUAUAAAGAUUUUUCAAGACAGCCCAUGAAUCUUCUCUAUCUUGUGCAUACGAAGUUCCAUAAAAACCUAUAAAUCGCCAAUUACCUUCUCUUUCAUUAUCACUCACUACCACAUCAAUAUGCCUUUAAGAGAUUCUGUAGUGAAAUAUUAACGUCAUUCCACCAAGCCAAACAUAACCCUCCUCUAGUACCUUCCGGAUCCACCUCAAUACCAUUCACAAAACCACAUCUCCGUUGAACUCUUUCCAUUUGAAUUCCACAAAGUUUCGUCUCCAUAAAGAAGACUAUAUGGGGAUCACAAGUCUUCAGCGAAUGCCAAAGUCUUCUAACUAUCCGUGGACUCCGUAAUCCAAGGACAUUUCAGCUUAAUAUUUUCAUUGCACCCGGUCGACUUGCCACUUGGCAGCCACCGAUGAUAAAUGAUUAAGAUCUUCCAAACUCCUAUUUCUUGUUAGGGUAUUAUUCAUCUCCUCAAUCCUUUGUAAAUCAUUAAGCUCCCCUCUAGAUCUUUUCUUACCCUCCUCUCUUACUAGGGCCACAUCCUCCAAAACGUGAUCUAUCGCAUUUAGGGUGUGAUUAGUCAGUGAACUAUCCUGCUUUGUACCAACACUUGAUAAACUGCCUUCCAAAUUAAAACCAAGAUUUGGAUCAACAGGCUUCCCAUAACUUUUCCUGUACUCCAUCCUUCGUUGUUCAUUUGCAAAUCCCCUAUUUACCUCAUGAAUUCCACUCGUAACCCCCUCACUUUCCUCUCGUAACCAGACACUGUUCAUAGUCAAAGCUCUUUGGGAUUGUGCUCUUAUUGAUAAAUCCCACCCCAUUUUAGUAAUUUUCACUCCAAUUGUCAUUUUUGCCUCACAAAAAGAAUCAUUAUGGCCCAACUUUCCAUAAUAGAAACAGAAAAGUGUCAACCUUUCAUAUUUAAAACUAACAUAUGAACGCCUCCCACGGAACUCGAUUUGUUUCUUCCUUUUCAAGGGACGUCUGAUAUCAAUUUGGACCCUGAUUUGCAUAAAAUUCCUAUUUUCUUUCCCUAUAUUUGGCACAUUGUAUUCCAUAAAGUACCCCAAGAAAUUUUCUAAAUUCACUACUAAGUUUUCAGAAAACAAACCAAUAGGCACAUUAUGUAUUUGAACCCAGAAAAGGGUUAACACUAAAGGCACCUACAGCGGAUCCUCCCCCUAAUGUAGUUUAUAAGUAUCAGCAAAUGAUUAUUAAAGGUUCAUGAGGAGCCUUUCAAAACCCUCUUCAUAUCCAUAGAAUGAAAACAUUGAAACAGUAACCUUUUUUCCCUAGAUCUCGGAUUCGAACGCCCCGAACAGUAUGCCACAAAUUCGCCAUAGUGCUUUUUCAUGGCUGGAAAGUGAAUUAUGCUUGCUAUGAGAAAACACCCCACUAAUUGAAAAAACUCUACCCUUCUUCCCGUACUAGGAUCUUCUUGAAUUUGAAUAGCAACAUCUUCCCUUCAUUUAUCAUUAAUUGGGCUUAUUAGUUCUCCAUUAUUUUUCAAGGACACAACGCAGAAAACCUAAAUUCUUGCCAGAGGUAGUAGACACAAGCGCGCUAGGGUAGCAGAUUGUUAAAACCUUAGAUUGUUGAGUUGUUAGUCUCACGGCAUAAAUAACUUGUACAGACUAUUGAUUUGUUUUGUACCAAUACAAUUAUUUUUUUCUUAAAAACACAUUAAAUUAAAUAAAUAUUAGAAUAGUAUAAAUACUUGGAAUUAUUAUAUAAAAAUAUUCAUGUUUAAAAUAGUUUUUAAAAAUUAGCAUGUUUUAAAAUUAAAAUAUUUGGAAUUAUAUAAAAAUAUUUGAAAAUUUGAAGUUAAAAUUUUAUAUUACAAUAUUAAAAAAUGUUGAACUACGCACGUGCCAAUCC